Molecule: long non-coding RNA, 2042 nt
Organism: Gasterosteus aculeatus aculeatus (three-spined stickleback)
Lineage: Eukaryota; Metazoa; Chordata; Actinopteri; Perciformes; Gasterosteidae
Source: Ensembl
AUAUUUCACCUUCUGUGAAACACCGUAACAGCAGCAUUUUGCGAUUUUAUUGUUGACAUCGCCGCCUGUUCAACUGACCUGGCGUGCACUCGCUAACAACUGUAAAUAAUUAUUUCAUAACUGCUUUAUUUUAACUACCACUGGAAACAAAUUACAGUCUUUUCUAGAACCGUUCCUGUGAAUUUAGACUUGCAUAUACUAAUAAAGUGUUACCAAAAAAAUGUCGAUGAGCGAACAUUCAUGAAUUAAUUAAUUCACAGACAAUGCCAUGAGGGGGGCAUUCUUUAUACUAUGGUGCAAUGAAAACAUUUUAAUUGUAUUGCACUUAUGUGAAAUGUCUUUGGCUGCUCCGGUGUGAGGUUGUUGUUGCCGAGCAGCACGGGCGUACCGAUGUGGACACCACGUGAUCAUGACUAACUGUGAUGGAGCAGAUUACUGAACGACUCAAAGAGACCAGAGCUGAAAAAAUAAAAGACUAUUAAAGAGACUAAAGAGACAGUUGAGCUGAAGAUACUGCAAGUGAUUUAGUGUGUGUGUGUGUGUGUGUGUAAAAUACAACACGCAGACACACACACACACACACACACACACACCAAAACCCUAUAUAUGUCUUCUCUCCAUUCUCAGAGAUACUGUCAUUUGGAACCGGCUAAAUAUCUUUACACAAUUGCGAGUGUACUAAUGUUCGGUAGUCAUUAAUCAGCCUGUAUUGUGGAUGAAGAAUGGAGUUCUUCCAGGCCUGUGUUUAGCAGAGAUCGCCCACUUGCAAACACAGAAUUGAACAUUUAUUAAAUGACUGAGGCAAAAGACAAAAGAAAACCACAGUUGGAGGAAAAAGGGAAAUACUAUCUAUGAGCUAUUGUCCAUUGUGUUGUUUCUUUUUGACAUUACCUCAUCUUUGACAGUUAAACACCCGAUUCCGGGCAGACAGCCUUACCUGACCGACUGGUGAGUCAAGUCAAGUCACGUCGUGUUUUUCUGUGAGAACCCGACAACAAACCACAGAACGUUUGAGACUGAGCUCAAGCUCCCUACGGGGACAGACAGGAGGACACAGACAAAACAGAAAUAAUGGAAAGGAGCUCUCAAGUGUAAAUUCAAAAAGAGAUGCCCUUUCUCAGAUGGCUGAGGGUGCGAUAGGAAAAAUGCCAAUUACAAAAAGGAGCGGAAAGAGUGAGACACUCGCUCAAACUUUGACAGCAAGUCGUCUCAAACACUUGUGACCAAGAUGCCUCCGGGCACCUGUGUGACCGUUAGUCACAGAUUUAUUCAUGGGCAGGUUUAGAUACCGCCGGUAAGACAAAGAAGAAAACAGAUUCUGAUCUCUCCGUGUCACACUUUUAUGCACACACACACACACACACACACACACACACACACACACACACACACAAAGAGGAGUGUUGCAUCACGUCAUCUUUCUCAGGAUCAGUGGCGUUUUUUUUUGUUUUCAAUCGGUUUCAACUUGAUUUUGGCCUCAACUGUGUCGUCAAACAUUAUUGAAUUAAAAGAAAAAGAAAGGAAAAACGAACCGACCGCGGUGGGUAUUCCAAACCUCCCGUGUGUCACAACGUGUUAGCAGCGCCCUGCAGUUUUUAACUGCUACGCAGCCAAACAGCUUCGCAUCUAGAUUGUCUGAGUGCGGAUGAGGAAGCGGCCGGCCGAGACACACACACACACACACACACACACACACACACACACACACACACACACACAGAAGAUAAGAAGGAAAAGAUAACUCAAACAUUAUUCUCUUUGAACGUUGACAGGCAGUCCACUGUGUUGGAGUUUUCAGCUCAGAGCAUUUCAAAGCAACAUUGUAAUUGUGUGGAAAGAUAAAACGCGCAUUGCUUUUGCCUUUUUUCCUCCCUCCGCGCAGCUCGGCGGUCGGGUGGAGUCUUUGCUUUGGUGAGACGUAAAAAAAAAAGAAAAGAGGGGGGCUUUUCGGGCGAGUCUGCCGAUGUUGUCUUUUUCUCUCUCUAGUGUAAAAUUGCAAAGUCGUUCAUCGGCGUACGCUCCUCUCCUAUCGCAGAGUGAGG